Long non-coding RNA from Heteronotia binoei (common prickly gecko), 1820 nucleotides. RefSeq lists it as uncharacterized. Lineage: Eukaryota; Metazoa; Chordata; Lepidosauria; Squamata; Gekkonidae. The record is from RefSeq and is a predicted model, not a curated record. The transcript is spliced from 2 exons.
AUCACAUCUGAUGCCCCCACUAGAUGAUCAGCUUUGGCAGAUACUGCAUUUGGAUUACUUUUCCAAAUUUUAGUCUACUUGCUCCUCCUGUAGUAACUGCAUCCCUGAAUAGUGCUUUUUUCCACGUGUAGAACAAGGAAAUGGGCUAUCAUCUCCUUAAAGGCAACCUCCACGUGUACUAAUUAAAUUGGAAAGAAACCACCUUCAGCUGGAGCUGACGUUUGGCAUGCUAAGAGAUUGGGGGUGGGGUGGAUUUAGAGUGUGACCCCCAAGGUCCUAUUUAAACCAGAAGACUAGGCAUCACACCAUUGCCUUUGACAGUGGAGAGUCAGACACCCCUUUGCUAGAACGGCUACUGGAAGGUGCUAGAGAAGGAGAAUGGACAGCAACCUAGAUAGGCAGCAGCAAGCAAGGCGAAACCGCUCAUAUACCAUGGUAGGUGGAGUUCUAGAAUCCUACUGGGAUCAGCCACCAAGACGGGAUAUUGCUGUCCAAACUGAAGAAAGCCCUGCUCCCAUGGAGACUACUCCAGAAGCGCAAUUAGCAGGCGAACCAACCAGUAGCCGAGUGGUACCGGUUGUUGUCCGUCAACACACCAGAAGCCAAUCUCUUAGCCAGAUGAUGGGCGUGCAACUCUCCAAGCCCCAGGAUCCGGACCAUGACGAUGAGAAGCUGACCAUUGAAGUAGAGACAGAAGAAAUGCCAGGAAGUGGAGACAUGAAGGAGCUUAGUGUCCUUCAAGAAGCCAUCGAAAGUAAUCUGGCCCAGAUCCUUCAGGAAUCUGAAAUAUUGGACAAUGAAAAAAAUGCUCGCCUGGAAGCCCAAAUGAAAGAUCCACAGUGAUCUCUGCAGCAGAUCCAGCUAUCCAGGGUCUUCAGAUUCUAGUACCGAUGAGCUCCACUUAGAUGUAAUGAGAACUGAAACAAACUGGACUGUCAUGCUAAGUAAAAACUAUAUGAAACUGGUCACACAGCUGCUCCAUAUGAAUGGGCCUAUUGGACAAUUGCAUCUUAGAGUACUGCUGCUGAGGUUAUUACGCAACGUAUUCCAUGAGAUCUCUCUUGGCUCUGACGGAACAAGAAGUGAAAAAGAGACACACUUACCAAAAGAGGGGGGAGAACUUGAUCUUUAGGUACAAAGGUGAAGCACAGGAAUGCAGCAAAUCCCAGUGUUUCUGAUAGCCCACAGGGAUUUUUGGUUUUAAUUGCACCCUACUUUGAAUUGCCUUUUUUUUUUUUUUGGACACUUUCUCAAUUUCUUACCACUUGUUAUCUCUUCCACUGUGGGCUACCAGAAAUCUGGAGAAUUAUGUGAAUCUCUUGUGCAAUUGGUUUCCUUCUCUCCCCCUUCCCCAUUAUUUGUGAAAUGUUUUGAAAAACUAGAGCAAUGAUGAUUCCAGGUAUGCUGCACCCCCUCCAGAUAUCUCUUGGAUUCAACAUCAGUUGUACAAACCUGAGGUCAGCCUUUCAGAAGAACAGCCGGUAAGAACUAUUAGUGCGCCUUCAAUUAGCUAAACCACCUAUGUAAAACUGUACAGACCAGGGUGAGGCAUAGUACAUUUUCAGGAACUGACACUUAGCUGACAAGGAAUCUCAUGAACAUCUGUCCAGUACCUUCCCUAAUACACCCUUGAAGGCAAAGCCGGAAUAUGUUUCACGUGACAAAUGUUUUUCACUGUUCACCUAGAUGGAAAUUGUUGGUAUCGAAGAAGGUUGUAGAUCAUUUGGAUUUUUUUUUUAAAAAAAAAAUAUCUGCCCCAGCUUUCCUGGCUAAUUGGAAAUGGAUUUUGUCUUAAUCUCUCAAUAAAGUUUUUAACCCUG